Molecule: long non-coding RNA, 590 nt
Filed under: Homo sapiens (human)
Lineage: Eukaryota; Metazoa; Chordata; Mammalia; Primates; Hominidae
Description: HSALNT0362399
Source: RNAcentral
CUGGCUUUGUACGUAUCAGUUCAAGCUUGAAUUUGACCUGUCAGCUUCCUCUAUACAGAAUGUUAGCCACUUUGACCUAAACCUGCUGAUUUAAUUCUUAGCUCUUGCCUACCUGCACAUGUUGGAUUAUCUUUUAGUUAGAAAAAGAAACAGGAAAUCACAUACUCAUGUAAACUAUGUAAUUGAGCACAUGCAAUGCUAUAGAGUGAGGAGAGGGAGGACAGUGGCUUUUUCUCCUCAUUUUCUGUUCCUAGACCCCACAACAGAUGAUCUCAUCAUACAGGUCUUCUACUCCUUAAGAUAGACAAGAUUGAUGAAAGACUGGAAAUGACUUUGCCUGGACCAUGAUUCAGCGACACUGUCCCUGUGGCAAGACUAUUGGCCAGGCUCAAACGCAGUGGCUGAUCCUCACUGACUCCUCUUCCUAAGGUUGUUGUACUAGGAGCAUCUCCUAACACUACACGGACACAAUUCAAUGACAAAAAUCAGAGAAGGUCUACAGACUGUACAAGAAACAUGGAAUCAGCAUCUCUAUCUGAUGAAGGCCUUAGGAAUCUUCCACUCAUGGAGGAAGGUGAAGGGGAGGCAGG